GUUCCUACGGGACGCAGCAGUGGGGAAUCUUCCGCAAUGGGCGCAAGCCUGACGGAGCAAUGCCGCGUGAACGAAGAAGGUCUUCGGAUUGUAAAGUUCUGUCCUUAUCGAAGAGAGGGUAUAGAGUGAAAAAUGAUAUACUAGGACGGUAGAUGAGGAGGAAGCCCCGGCUAACUACGUGCCAGCAGCCGCGGUAAUACGUAGGGGGCGAGCGUUGUCCGGAAUUACUGGGCGUAAAGGGCGCGUAGGUGGGCGCUUAAGUCAGGUGUGAAAACUCCGGGCUCAACCUGGAGACUGCACUUGAA
This 305-nucleotide ribosomal RNA is filed under the name uncultured bacterium. RNAcentral describes it as "bacterial SSU rRNA". It matches the Rfam family "Bacterial small subunit ribosomal RNA", at positions 335 to 631 of the family's 1533-position model. The record is from RNAcentral.